RNAcentral lists this ribosomal RNA (481 nucleotides) under uncultured bacterium. RNAcentral's name for it is "partial 16S ribosomal RNA". It matches the Rfam family "Bacterial small subunit ribosomal RNA", at positions 29 to 507 of the family's 1533-position model. The record is from RNAcentral.
AUGAACGCUAGCGGCAGGCCUAAUACAUGCAAGUCGGACGGGAUUCAGGAGCUUGCUUCUGAUGAGAGUGGCGCACGGGUGCGUAACACGUAUGUAACCUACCUUUAUCAGGGGGAUAGCCUCUCGAAAGAGAGAUUAAGCCCGCAUAAAAUCACAGCACAGCAUUGUGUAAUGAUCAAAUAUUUAUAAGAUAAAGAUGGGCAUGCGGAACAUUAGCUAGAUGGCGGGGUAACGGCCCACCAUGGCGACGAUGUUUAGGGGAUCUGAGAGGAUGGCCCCCCACACUGGUACUGAGACACGGACCAGACUCCUACGGGAGGCAGCAGUAAGGAAUAUUGGUCAAUGGGCGGAAGCCUGAACCAGCCAUGCCGCGUGCAGGAAGACGGCCCUACGGGUUGUAAACUGCUUUUAUACGGGAAUAAACCCAGAUACGUGUAUCUGGCUGAAUGUACUGUAAGAAUAAGGAUCGGCUAACUCCGUG